GAUAAACGCUGGCGGCGUGCCUAAUACAUGCAAGUCGAGCGAACGGACGAGAAGCUUGCUUCUCUGAUGUUAGCGGCGGACGGGUGAGUAACACGUGGAUAACCUACCUAUAAGACUGGGAUAACUUCGGGAAACCGUAGCUAAUACCGGAUAAUAUUUUGAACCGCAUGGUUCAAAAGUGAAAGACGGUCUUGCUGUCACUUAUAGAUGGAUCCGCGCUGCAUUAGCUAGUUGGUAAGGUAACGGCUUACCAAGGCAACGAUGCAUAGCCGACCUGAGAGGGUGAUCGGCCACACUGGAACUGAGACACGGUCCAGACUCCUACGGGAGGCAGCAGUAGGGAAUCUUCCGCAAUGGGCGAAAGCCUGACGGAGCAACGCCGCGUGAGUGAUGAAGGUCUUCGGAUCGUAAAACUCUGUUAUUAGGGAAGAACAUAUGUGUAAGUAACUGUGCACAUCUUGACGGUACCUAAUCAGAAAGCCACGGCUAACUACGU
This 496-nucleotide ribosomal RNA is filed under the name uncultured bacterium. RNAcentral describes it as "partial 16S ribosomal RNA". It matches the Rfam family "Bacterial small subunit ribosomal RNA", at positions 28 to 506 of the family's 1533-position model. The record is from RNAcentral.